UGGGGAAUAUUGCACAAUGGGGGAAACCCUGAUGCAGCAACGCCGCGUGCGGGAUGACGGCCUUCGGGUUGUAAACCGCUUUCAGCCAUGACGAAGCUUUUGUGACGGUAGUGGCAGAAGAAGCACCGGCUAACUACGUGCCAGCAGCCGCGGUGAUACGUAGGGUGCGAGCGUUGUCCGGAAUUAUUGGGCGUAAAGAGCUUGUAGGCGGUUUGUCGCGUCGAAAGUGUAAACUCAGUGCUUAACGCUGAGCCUGCUUUCGAUACGGGCUGACUAGAGGAAGGUAGGGGAGAAUGGAAUUCCCGGUGGAGCGGUGGAAUGCGCAGAUAUCGGGAGGAACACCAGUGGCGAAGGCGGUUCUCUGGACCUUUCCUGACGCUGAGAAGCGAAAGCGUGGGUAGCAAACAGG
Molecule: ribosomal RNA, 409 nt
Filed under: bacterium
Lineage: Bacteria
Also listed under: 1 other name
Description: partial 16S ribosomal RNA
Rfam family: Bacterial small subunit ribosomal RNA
Source: RNAcentral